UAGGAUGUCGUGAUGGGACCGAGCUC
This 26-nucleotide non-coding RNA is filed under the name Homo sapiens (human). The record is from RNAcentral. Lineage: Eukaryota; Metazoa; Chordata; Mammalia; Primates; Hominidae.